GACGAACGCUGGCGGCGUGCCUAAUACAUGCAAGUAGGACGCACAGUUUAUACCGUAGCUUGCUACACCAUAGACUGUGAGUUGCGAACGGGUGAGUAACGCGUAGGUAACCUGCCUGGUAGCGGGGGAUAACUAUUGGAAACGAUAGCUAAUACCGCAUAAUAUUAAUUAUUGCAUGAUAAUUAAUUGAAAGGUGCAAUUGCACCACUACCAGAUGGACCUGCGUUGUAUUAGCUAGUAGGUGAGGUAACGGCUCACCUAGGCGACGAUACAUAGCCGAACUGAGAGGGUGAUCGGCCACACUGGGACUGAGACACGGCCCAGACUCCUACGGGAGGCAGCAGUAGGGAAUCUUCGGCAAUGGACGAAAGUCUGACCGAGCAACGCCGCGUGAGUGAAGAAGGGUUUCGGAUCGUAAAGCUCUGUUGUAAGAGAAGAACGGGUGUGAGAGUGGAAAGUUCACACUGUGACGGUAUCUUACCAGAAAGGGACGGCUAACUACGUG
This 505-nucleotide ribosomal RNA is filed under the name uncultured bacterium. Its description in RNAcentral is "partial 16S ribosomal RNA". It matches the Rfam family "Bacterial small subunit ribosomal RNA", at positions 28 to 507 of the family's 1533-position model. The record is from RNAcentral.